RNAcentral lists this transfer RNA (76 nucleotides) under Acidobacteriota bacterium. RNAcentral's name for it is "tRNA-Phe". It matches the Rfam family "tRNA". From Rfam's summary of the family: Transfer RNA (tRNA) molecules are approximately 80 nucleotides in length. The record is from RNAcentral. RNAcentral also lists the same sequence under 2 other names. Lineage: Bacteria; Pseudomonadati; Acidobacteriota.
GGCUUGGUAGCUCAGUUGGUAGAGCAGCGGACUGAAAAUCCGCGUGUCGGCGGUUCGACCCCGUCCCAAGCCACCA